GUGGGGAAUAUUGGACAAUGGGGGCAACCCUGAUCCAGCCAUGCCGCGUGAGUGAUGAAGGCCUUCGGGUUGUAAAGCUCUUUUGGCGGGGACGAUGAUGACGGUACCCGCAGAAUAAGCCCCGGCUAACUUCGUGCCAGCAGCCGCGGUAAGACGAAGGGGGCUAGCGUUGUUCGGAAUUACUGGGCGUAAAGCGAGUGUAGGUGGUUGUCAUAGUCAGGUGUGAAAGCCUUGAGCUCAACUCAAGAAAUGCACUUGAUACUGGGCGACUAGAGGACCGGAGAGGAUAGUGGAAUUCCCAGUGUAGUGGUGAAAUACGUAGAGAUUGGGAAGAACACCAGUGGCGAAGGCGGCUAUCUGGACGGUUACUGACACUAAGACUCGAAAGCGUGUGGAGCAAACAGGAUUAGAUACCCCGGUAGUCC
Molecule: ribosomal RNA, 425 nt
Filed under: uncultured bacterium
Lineage: Bacteria
Description: partial 16S ribosomal RNA
Rfam family: Bacterial small subunit ribosomal RNA
Source: RNAcentral